GAUGAACGCUGGCGGCGUGCCUAAUACAUGCAAGUCGUACGAAGGAGCUUGCUCCUUAGUGGCGAACGGGUGAGUAACACAUAAAUAAUCUGCCUCAAUGUCUGGGAUAACUAUUGGAAACGAUAGCUAAUACCGGAUAGCUUGUUAGAAGACAUCUUCUUUCAACUAAAGGAGCGUUCGCUCCGCUUUGAGAUGAGUUUAUGGCGCAUUAGUUAGUUGGCGGGGUAAUGGCCCACCAAGACGAUGAUGCGUAGCCGAUCUGAGAGGAUGACCGGCCACACUGGGACUGAGACACGGCCCAGACUCCUACGGGAGGCAG
RNAcentral lists this ribosomal RNA (319 nucleotides) under uncultured Bacillota bacterium. RNAcentral's name for it is "bacterial SSU rRNA". It matches the Rfam family "Bacterial small subunit ribosomal RNA", at positions 28 to 351 of the family's 1533-position model. Lineage: Bacteria; Bacillati; Bacillota. The record is from RNAcentral.